UAGCAGGAUAUAAAAUUACUUAAAGAAA
Molecule: non-coding RNA, 28 nt
Filed under: Mus musculus (house mouse)
Lineage: Eukaryota; Metazoa; Chordata; Mammalia; Rodentia; Muridae
Source: RNAcentral